RNAcentral lists this ribosomal RNA (177 nucleotides) under uncultured bacterium. RNAcentral describes it as "partial 16S ribosomal RNA". It matches the Rfam family "Bacterial small subunit ribosomal RNA", at positions 338 to 512 of the family's 1533-position model. The record is from RNAcentral.
CCUACGGGAGGCAGCAGUGAGGAAUAUUGGUCAAUGGGCGCAAGCCUGAACCAGCCGUCCCGCGUGCAGGAUGACGGCCCUAUGGGUUGUAAACUGCUUUUGUAUGGGAGCAAUAAGAUCUACGUGUAGAUUGAUGAGAGUACCAUACGAAUAAGCACCGGCUAACUCCGUGCCAGC